CUAGGGGAUCUGAGAGGAUGGCCCCCCACACUGGUACUGAGACCCGGACCAGACUCCUACGGGAGGCAGCAGUAAGGAAUAUUGGUCAAUGGGCGCAAGCCUGAACCAGCCAUGCCGCGUGCAGGAAGACGGCCCUCCGGGUUGUAAACUGCUUUUGUACGGGAAUAAACCUCUCUACGUGUAGGGAGCUGAAUGUACCGUAAGAAUAAGGAUCGGCUAACUCCGUGCCAGCAGCCGCGGUAAUACGGAGGAUCCAAGCGUUAUCCGGAUUUAUUGGGUUUAAAGGGUGCGUAGGCGGCCUGUUAAGUCAGGGGUGAAAGACGGUGGCUCAACCAUCGCAGUGCCCUUGAUACUGAUGGGCUUGAAUAGACUAGAGGUAGGCGGAAUGUGACAAGUAGCGGUGAAAUGCAUAGAUAUGUCACAGAACACCGAUUGCGAAGGCAGCUUACUAUGGUCUGAUUGACGCUGAGGCACGAAAGCGUGGGGAUCGAACAGGAUUAGAUACCCUGGUAGUCCACGCCCUAAACGAUGAACACUCGCUGUUGGCGAUAAACGGUCAGCGGCUAAGCGAAAGCGUUAAGUGUUCCACCUGGGGAGUACGCCCGCAAGGGUGAAACUCAAAGGAAUUGACGGGGGCCCGCACAAGCGGAGGAGCAUGUGGUUUAAUUCGAUGAUACGCGAAGGAACCUUACCCGGGGCUUGAAAGUUAGUUGAAGUAUCCAGAGAAUGGAUGCGCCUCCUUCGGGGCACGAAAACUAGGUUGCUGCAUGGGCUGAUCGUCAGCUACGUGCCGUGGAAGGUGUUGAGGUUAAGUCCCGGCAACGAGUCGCAACCCCUAUGCAAUAGUUUGCCAGCAUGUACACGGUGGGGAAAUCUAUUCAGAAACUGCCUGUGCAAACAGAGAGGAAGGAGGGGACGACGUCAAGUCAUCAUGGCCCUUACGUCCGGGGCUACACACGUGCUACAAUGGACGGUACAGAGGGCAGCUAUCCGGCAACGGAAUGCCAAUCUCAAAAAGCCGUUCACAGUUCGGAUCGGGGUCUGCAACUCGACCCCGUGAAGUUGGAUUCGCUAGUAAUCGCGUAUCAGCAAUG
This 1094-nucleotide ribosomal RNA is filed under the name Pedobacter zeaxanthinifaciens. RNAcentral describes it as "bacterial SSU rRNA". It matches the Rfam family "Bacterial small subunit ribosomal RNA", at positions 283 to 1357 of the family's 1533-position model. The record is from RNAcentral. Lineage: Bacteria; Pseudomonadati; Bacteroidota; Sphingobacteriia; Sphingobacteriales; Sphingobacteriaceae.